UGGUUCAGUGGUAGAAUACUUGUCUAACACACAGAGACCUGGGUUCAAUCCCCAG
Transfer RNA from Alligator mississippiensis (American alligator), 55 nucleotides. It matches the Rfam family "tRNA", at positions 8 to 63 of the family's 71-position model. Rfam says of the family: Transfer RNA (tRNA) molecules are approximately 80 nucleotides in length. Their secondary structure includes four short double-helical elements and three loops (D, anti-codon, and T loops). The record is from Rfam. Lineage: Eukaryota; Metazoa; Chordata; Crocodylia; Alligatoridae.